Molecule: unclassified non-coding RNA, 273 nt
Filed under: uncultured fungus
Lineage: Eukaryota; Fungi
Description: partial contains 5.8S ribosomal RNA, internal transcribed spacer 2, and large subunit ribosomal RNA
Source: RNAcentral
AACGCACAUUGCGCCCUUUGGUAUUCCGAAGGGCAUGCCUAUUCGAGCGUCAUUAUCAACCCUCAAGCUCGGCUUGUUAUUGGGUCUUAUCGUUACAGAUAGGCCUGAAAGAUAAUGGCGGCGUCGUGAAAUGACCCCAGGUGCAGCGAGCUAAAAGCAUACACUGAAAGGUUUUUUGCGGCCCGGUCCUUCCGUUUUGGUUCUGUUAAAGGAAUCAAGACACUUUUUUCAAAGGUUGACCUCGGAUUAGGUAGGAAUACCCGCUGAACUUAA